GACCUCACCAAAUGAUGUAAGACAUCCGAUCUCUAGAUUGAACCUUACCAAAUGAUGUAAGAUAUUCUAUUUCCGGAUUGAACCUCACCAAAUGAUGUGAGACAUCUGAUCUUCGGAUUGGACCUCAAGCGAAAUAUCCAAUCUUUGGAUUGGAUCCCAUAAUAUUAUGUGAAAUAUCCGAUCUUCGGAUUGAACCUCAUAAUAUGAUGUGAAAUAAUUGAUCUCCAGAUCAAAUGGACUUGAUUCGAUGAAAAAAGCACUCAGGUUUAUAAGCUGAUUUUCACUAAUAAGACUUGUGAAAGGACAGCACAGAUCACAGACUUAUAGAUUAAAAAAUCCAACCUGUAUUUUCGAACUCAACUAAAGGUACCUUUAAAACCUUUACAUUGAAUUAUUAGAGAUUAAUUUAUCUCUAGUUAUUUGAUCUGAUUCAA
RNAcentral lists this long non-coding RNA (434 nucleotides) under Elaeis guineensis (African oil palm). RNAcentral's name for it is "long non-coding RNA (EGUI_LNC010549)". The record is from RNAcentral. Lineage: Eukaryota; Viridiplantae; Streptophyta; Magnoliopsida; Arecales; Arecaceae.